Molecule: ribosomal RNA, 433 nt
Filed under: uncultured bacterium
Lineage: Bacteria
Description: partial 16S ribosomal RNA
Rfam family: Bacterial small subunit ribosomal RNA
Source: RNAcentral
AACGAACGCUGGCGGCAUGCCUAACACAUGCAAGUCGAACGAGACCUUCGGGUCUAGUGGCGCACGGGUGCGUAACGCGUGGGAACCUGCCCUUAGGUUCGGAAUAACUCCCUGAAAGGGAUGCUAAUACCGGUUAAUGUCUUCGGACCAAAGAUUUAUCGCCUUUGGAUGGGCCCGCGUUGGAUUAGCCAGUUGGUAGGGUAAAAGCCUGCCAAGGCGACGAUCCAUAGCUGGUGGGAGAGGAUGAUCAGCCACACUGGGACUGAGACACGGCCCAGACUCCUACGGGAGGGAGCAGUGGGGAAUAUUGGACGAUGGGCGAAAGCCUGAUCCAGCAAUGCCGCGUGAGUGAUGAAGGCCUUAGGGUUGUAAAGCUCUUUUACCCGGGAUGAUAAUGACAGUACCGGGAGAAUAAGCUCCGGCUAACUCCGUG